AUUGAACGCUGGCGGCAGGCCUAACACAUGCCAGUCGAGCGGAUGAAGGGAGCUUGCUCCUGGAUUCAGCGGCGGACGGGUGAGUAAUGCCUAGGAAUCUGCCUGGUAGUGGGGGAUAACGUCCGGAAACGGGCGCUAAUACCGCAUACGUCCUGAGGGAGAAAGUGGGGGAUCUUCGGACCUCACGCUAUCAGAUGAGCCUAGGUCGGAUUAGCUAGUUGGUGGGGUAAAGGCCUACCAAGGCGACGAUCCGUAACUGGUCUGAGAGGAUGAUCAGUCACACUGGAACUGAGACACGGUCCAGACUCCUACGGGAGGCAGCAGUGGGGAAUAUUGGACAAUGGGCGAAAGCCUGAUCCAGCCAUGCCGCGUGUGUGAAGAAGGUCUUCGGAUUGUAAAGCACUUUAAGUUGGGAGGAAGGGCAGUAAGUUAAUACCUUGCUGUUUUGACGUUACUAACAGAAUAAGCACCGGCUAACUUCGUG
RNAcentral lists this ribosomal RNA (484 nucleotides) under uncultured bacterium. Its description in RNAcentral is "partial 16S ribosomal RNA". It matches the Rfam family "Bacterial small subunit ribosomal RNA", at positions 30 to 507 of the family's 1533-position model. The record is from RNAcentral.